RNAcentral lists this ribosomal RNA (424 nucleotides) under uncultured bacterium. RNAcentral's name for it is "bacterial SSU rRNA". It matches the Rfam family "Bacterial small subunit ribosomal RNA", at positions 355 to 796 of the family's 1533-position model. The record is from RNAcentral.
UGGGGAAUAUUGGACAAUGGGCGCAAGCCUGAUCCAGCAAUGCCGCGUGAGUGAUGAAGGCCUUAGGGUUGUAAAGCUCUUUCGGCGGGGACGAUGAUGACGGUACCCGCAGAAGAAGCCCCGGCUAACUUCGUGCCAGCAGCCGCGGUAAUACGAAGGGGGCGAGCGUUGUUCGGAAUUACUGGGCGUAAAGGGCGCGCAGGCGGUGCAUGAAGUCAGAUGUGAAAGCCCCGAGCUUAACUUGGGAACUGCAUUUGAUACUCGUGCGCUAGAGUUCGGGAGAGGAGAGUGGAAUUCCCAGUGUAGAGGUGAAAUUCGUAGAUAUUGGGAAGAACACCGGUGGCGAAGGCGGCUCUCUGGACCGAUACUGACGCUGAGGCGCGAAAGCGUGGGGAGCAAACAGGAUUAGAUACCCCCGUAGUCC